GGGGCAUAGUUCAGUGGUAAAGCAUAUCUGCUUUGCAUGCACUAGGUCCCAGCUUUGAUCCCUGGCAGCUUCG
Molecule: non-coding RNA, 73 nt
Organism: Podarcis lilfordi (Lilford's wall lizard)
Lineage: Eukaryota; Metazoa; Chordata; Lepidosauria; Squamata; Lacertidae
Source: the annotation of a GenBank genome assembly